GGGAUAAACGCUGGCGGCGUGCCUAACACAUGCAAGUCGAACGCGCUUUCGGGCUUCGGUGCGAGAGCGAGUGGCGGACGGGUGAGUAACACAUGGGUACCUACCUUGGAGUGAGGGAUACCGGCGAGAAAUCGCCGACAAUACCGCAUAGGCUUCUUCACAAGGGAAGCAAAGUGACGCGAGUCACGCUGUGAGAUGGGCCUGUGGCCGAUUAGCUAGUUGGGGGGUAACGGCUUCCCAAGGCGACGAUCGGUAGCUGGUCUGAGAGGACGAUCAGCCACACUGGGAUUGAGAACGGCCCAGACUCCUACGGGGGGCAGCAGUGAGGAAUUUUCCGCAAAUGGAGGCAACUCUGACGGAGCAACGCCGCGUGCAGGAGGAAGGUUUUCGGAUCGUAAACUGCUUUUCUCGGGGACGAGCAAGGGACGUACCCGAGGAAGAAGCCCCGGCUAACUACGUGCCAGCAGCCGC
RNAcentral lists this ribosomal RNA (471 nucleotides) under uncultured bacterium. Its description in RNAcentral is "SSU rRNA". It matches the Rfam family "Bacterial small subunit ribosomal RNA", at positions 27 to 518 of the family's 1533-position model. The record is from RNAcentral.